CCGGUCUGCCAAGCCUGUUCAUUCAUCCAACUCGGCAAAAGAUUCACAGUCUCCGUCACUAGAAACAACAGGAAAAACAUGCCGAAAACUGCAGAACAGACUGGAAAGUUUGCAAACCCUGGUAGAAGACUUACAGCUGAAGAACCAAGCAAUGUCUUCAAUGAUCAGAAAUCAAGAGAAGAGAAUUCAGAAAGUGAAAGACCAGGAAAAGAUGUUACUGAAAUGAUGAGUUGCUUGCCUGCUGUCUACAAAGAGCUGACAUACGAUUGAUCGUGGUGUUCUUUAUAAUUAGUGCCCUGCAAACUUUUUUCUUUUUAUGUGAAAUUUAAUAAAAGAUACCCUGUCCUGU
RNAcentral lists this long non-coding RNA (349 nucleotides) under Rattus norvegicus (Norway rat). RNAcentral's name for it is "long non-coding RNA NONRATT009253". The record is from RNAcentral. Lineage: Eukaryota; Metazoa; Chordata; Mammalia; Rodentia; Muridae.